Molecule: ribosomal RNA, 468 nt
Filed under: uncultured bacterium
Lineage: Bacteria
Description: partial 16S ribosomal RNA
Rfam family: Bacterial small subunit ribosomal RNA
Source: RNAcentral
GACGAACGCUGGCGGCGUGCUUAACACAUGCAAGUCGAACGGAAAGGCCCUGCUUUUGUGGGGUGCUCGAGUGGCGAACGGGUGAGUAACACGUGAGUAACCUGCCCUUGACUUUGGGAUAACUUCAGGAAACUGGGGCUAAUACCGGAUAGGAGCUCCUGCUGCAUGGUGGGGGUUGGAAAGUUUCGGCGGUUGGGGAUGGACUCGCGGCUUAUCAGCUUGUUGGUGGGGUAGUGGCUUACCAAGGCUUUGACGGGUAGCCGGCCUGAGAGGGUGACCGGCCACAUUGGGACUGAGAUACGGCCCAGCCUCCUCCGGGAGGCAGCAGUGGGGAAUAUUGCACAAUGGGCGGAAGCCUGAUCCAGCAACGCCGCGUGCGGGAUGACGGCCUUCGGGUUGUAAACCGCUUUCGCCUGUGACGAAGCGUGAGUGACGGUAAUGUGUAAAGAAGCACCGGCUAACUACGUG